GUCCACGCCCUAAACGAUGUCAACUAGGUGUUGGGAGGGUAAACCUUUAGUACCGGAGCUAACGCGUGAAGUUGACCGCCUGGGGAGUACGGCCGCAAGGUUAAAACUCAAAGGAAUUGACGGGGACCCGCACAAGCGGUGGAUGAUGUGGAUUAAUUCGAUGCAACGCGAAAACCUUACCUACCCUUGACAUGUCAGGAACUUGCCAGAGAUGGCUUGGUGCUCGAAAAGAGAACCUGAACACAGGUGCUGCAUGGCUGUCGU
Molecule: ribosomal RNA, 264 nt
Filed under: uncultured bacterium
Lineage: Bacteria
Description: partial 16S ribosomal RNA
Rfam family: Bacterial small subunit ribosomal RNA
Source: RNAcentral